RNAcentral lists this long non-coding RNA (334 nucleotides) under Rattus norvegicus (Norway rat). RNAcentral describes it as "long non-coding RNA NONRATT025814". Lineage: Eukaryota; Metazoa; Chordata; Mammalia; Rodentia; Muridae. The record is from RNAcentral.
CAUUUUCCCGUGUGGUGACCAAAUGAGACAGGCCAAUUGCUCCUCCACUCCGUACACAGGCUGCUAGGAGCCCACUGGCCCUCAUGCCUACCAGUCACGCCUUCGCUCAUGAGGCAGCAUCCAGAUCAGACUCUGCCUGAUACUGUCGAAGCAGCCAUAGACCUUGCAGUCUAAACCAGAAUCAUCCAAGACAAACGAGAGGAAUACUGGACGACCAGUAUGGGUCAGCAUGGGAGUCCUGAGCAAGCUCAGAACUGGCUAUUACUCCAAAAAUAAGAGAUUUACAAAUACUUUUUAAUUAAUUAACUAAUUAAUUAAAUUUUAGUAUGCUUUU